CCCUACUGUGUUUGUGAUUGGAUGAUGUUUUUUGAUCCAACACCAAUGUUACGGGAGCCUUUGAUUGUUUUGGUGAGCAUGUUCUGUACGUAAAGAAAAGCCUAAAAAAACUAAAAGGUACCCACUUUAUCCAUUAGGUUCAAAGACCCAUCCACACGGCACAAA
This 165-nucleotide non-coding RNA is filed under the name marine eukaryotic metagenome. Its description in RNAcentral is "6S / SsrS RNA". It matches the Rfam family "6S / SsrS RNA", at positions 11 to 176 of the family's 187-position model. From Rfam's summary of the family: E. coli 6S RNA was the first non coding RNA to be sequenced, but its function was unknown until recently. It consists of 184 nucleotides that fold into an extended hairpin structure with a large single-stranded internal bulge. The 6S RNA specifically associates with RNA polymerase holoenzyme containing the sigma70 specificity factor. The record is from RNAcentral.